UUGAGUGGAUCCUGAGUACGACGGAGCACGUGAAAUUCCGUCGGAAUCUGGGAGGACCAUCUCCUAAGGCUAAAUACUCUCUAGUGACCGAUAGUGAACCAGUACCGUGAGGGAAAGGUGAAAAGCACCCCGGAAGGGGAGUGAAAUAGAACCUGAAACCGUGUGCUUACAAGUAGUCAGAGCCCGUUAAUGGGUGAUGGCGUGCCUUUUGUAGAAUGAACCGGCGAGUUACGAUUUGAUGCAAGGUUAAGCAGUAAAUGUGGAGCCGUAGCGAAAGCGAGUCUGAAUAGGGCGUUUAGUAUUUGGUCGUAGACCCGAAACCAGGUGAUCUACCCUUGGUCAGGUUGAAGUUCAGGUAACACUGAAUGGAGGACCGAACCGACUUACGUUGAAAAGUGAGCGGAUGAACUGAGGGUAGCGGAGAAAUUCCAAUCGAACCUGGAGAUAGCUGGUUCUCUCCGAAAUAGCUUUAGGGCUAGCCUCAAGUGAUGAUUAUUGGAGGUAGAGCACUGUUUGGACGAGGGGCCCCUCUCGGGUUACCGAAUUCAGACAAACUCCGAAUGCCAAUUAAUUUAACUUGGGAGUC
This 586-nucleotide ribosomal RNA is filed under the name Staphylococcus aureus. Its description in RNAcentral is "partial 23S ribosomal RNA". It matches the Rfam family "Bacterial large subunit ribosomal RNA", at positions 397 to 985 of the family's 2925-position model. The record is from RNAcentral. Lineage: Bacteria; Bacillati; Bacillota; Bacilli; Caryophanales; Staphylococcaceae.